This 1506-nucleotide ribosomal RNA is filed under the name human gut metagenome. RNAcentral describes it as "bacterial LSU rRNA". It matches the Rfam family "Bacterial large subunit ribosomal RNA", at positions 934 to 2445 of the family's 2925-position model. The record is from RNAcentral.
ACUUACCAAACCAUUGCAAACUCCGAAUACUAGUGAGUGCGAGCCUGGGAGACAGACACCGGGUGCUAACGUCCGAUGUCAAGAGGGAAACAACCCAGACCGCCAGCUAAGGUCCCAAAGAUUGGCUAAGUGGAAAACGAAGUGGGAAGGCUAAAACAGUCAGGAGGUUGGCUUAGAAGCAGCCAUCCUUUAAAGAAAGCGUAAUAGCUCACUGAUCGAGUCGUCCUGCGCGGAAGAUGUAACGGGGCUAAGCCAGUCACCGAAGCUGCGGAUAUCCGCAAGGAUAUGGUAGGAGAGCGUUCUGUAAGCCUGAGAAGGUGUGUUGAGAAGCAUGCUGGAGGUAUCAGAAGUGCGAAUGCUGACAUGAGUAGCGAUAAUGGAGGUGAAAGGCCUCCACGCCGUAAGCCCAAGGUUUCCUGUUCAACGUUCAUCGGAGCAGGGUGAGUCGGCCCCUAAGGCGAGGCAGAGAUGCGUAGCUGAUGGGAAGCAGGUUAAUAUUCCUGCACCGUCGUUAGAUGCGAUGGGGGGACGGAUUGCGGAAAGUCAUCCGGGUGUUGGAAGUCCCGGUUCUUGAUUCGAAGGAGGCUGCUAGGCAAAUCCGGCAGCGUAAUCCAAGGGAUUGAGACGAGUGGCCUUGUGCUGCGAAGUGAUUGGAAGUGGUUCCAAGAAAAGCCUCUAAGCUUCAGUCUAACGAGACCGUACCGCAAACCGACACAGGUGGGCGAGAUGAGUAUUCUAAGGCGCUUGAGAGAACUCGGGAGAAGGAACUCGGCAAAUUGGUACCGUAACUUCGGGAUAAGGUACGCCCUUGUAGCUUGACUGGCCUGCGCCAGGAGGGUGAAGGGGUUGCAAUAAAAAGGUGGCUGCGACUGUUUAAUAAAAACACAGCACUCUGCAAACACGAAAGUGGACGUAUAGGGUGUGACGCCUGCCCGGUGCUGGAAGAUUAAAUGAUGGGGUGAGAGCUCUUGAUUGAAGUCCCAGUAAACGGCGGCCGUAACUAUAACGGUCCUAAGGUAGCGAAAUUCCUUGUCGGGUAAGUUCCGACCUGCACGAAUGGCGUAACGAUGGCCACACUGUCUCCUCCCGAGACUCAGCGAAGUUGAAGUGGUUGUGAUGAUGCAAUCUACCCGCGGCUAGACGGAAAGACCCCAUGAACCUUUACUGUAGCUUUACAUUGGACUUUGAACCAAUCUGUGUAGGAUAGGUGGGAGGCUUUGAAGCGUGGACGCUAGUUUGCGUGGAGCCGACCUUGAAAUACCACCCUGGUUUGUUUGAGGUUCUAACCUUGGCCCGUUAUCCGGGUUGGGGACAGUGUAUGGUAGGCAGUUUGACUGGGGCGGUCUCCUCCAAAAGCGUAACGGAGGAGUUCGAAGGUACGCUAGGUACGGUCGGACAUCGUGCUGAUAGUGCAAUGGCAUAAGCGUGCUUAACUGCGAGACCGACAAGUCGAGCAGGUACGAAAGUAGGACAUAGUGAUCCGGUGGUUCUGAAUGGAAGGGCCAU